ACAUCACAUCUGACACGUGUGGAUGUAUCAAUGCCAUUCCUAAAGAUGGACAGUACUGCCAGUCGGUUCACAAACAAAACUUUACCGCAUGUCCAACAACAACAGCCUCUCCUACAACAGUUUCAACAGUACUACCAACGCUCUACGAAUACAUGAUUGAAAUUGAGCUGAACACCACAGACGUUACAGUGAUAGAUCAACUGAGAGCCAUUCUGAGAAAUGCUAGUUACCCUGUUAGAAUCAAUAAUCUGAU
Molecule: long non-coding RNA, 253 nt
Organism: Coregonus clupeaformis (lake whitefish)
Lineage: Eukaryota; Metazoa; Chordata; Actinopteri; Salmoniformes; Salmonidae
Exons: 3
Source: RefSeq, a predicted model, not a curated record